AUUGAACGCUGGCGGCAUGCCUUACACAUGCAAGUCGAACGGCAGCACGGGAGCAAUCCUGGUGGCGAGUGGCGAACGGGUGAGUAAAGUAUCGGAACGUGCCCAGUCGUGGGGGAUAACGUAGCGAAAGUUACGCUAAUACCGCAUACGAUCUAUGGAUGAAAGCGGGGGAUCGCAAGACCUCGCGCGAUUGGAGCGGCCGAUAUCAGAUUAGGUAGUUGGUGGGGUAAAGGCUCACCAAGCCGACGAUCUGUAGCUGGUCUGAGAGGACGAACAAGCAAAAUGGGACUGGGGAAACGCCCAGAAUCCUACGGGAGGGAGGAGGGGGGAAUUUUGGAAAAAGGGGGGAAGGCUGAUCCAGGCAUGGCGCGUGGAGGAUGAAGGGCUUCGGGUUUUAAACUGGUUUUGGUCGGAACGAAAAGGUUUGGCCUAAUAAGCUGAGCUCAUGACGGUACCGUAAGAAUAAGCACCGGCUAACUACGUGCCAGCAGCCGCAGUAA
RNAcentral lists this ribosomal RNA (500 nucleotides) under uncultured bacterium. Its description in RNAcentral is "partial 16S ribosomal RNA". It matches the Rfam family "Bacterial small subunit ribosomal RNA", at positions 29 to 523 of the family's 1533-position model. The record is from RNAcentral.